CCUACGGGAGGCAGCAGUAGGGAAUUUUCCACAAUGGGCGAAAGCCUGAUGGAGCAAUACCGCGUGCAGGAUGAAGGCCUUCGGGUCGUAAACUGCUUUUAUGUGCGAAGAAUUUGACGGUAACACAUGAAUAAGGAUCGGCUAACUACGUGCCAGCAGCCGCGGUCAUACGUAGGAUCCAAGCGUUAUCCGGAAUUACUGGGCGUAAAGAGUUGCGUAGGUGGCAUUAUAAGUGGAGCGUGAAAGCGUGCGGCUCAACCGCAUUAUUGCGUUCCAAACUGUGAAGCUUGAGUAUGGGAGAGGUAGAUGGAAUUUCUAGUGUAGGAGUGAAAUCCGUAGAUAUUAGAAGGAACACCGAUGGCGUAGGCAGUCUACUGGCCCAUUACUGACACUAAGGCACGAAAGCGUGGGGAGCAAACGGGAUUAGAUACCCCGGUAGUCCACGCUGUAAACUAUGGAUGCUAGCUGUGACACACAUCGACCUGUGUCGUAGCGAAGUUAACGCGUUAAGCAUCCCGCUGGGGAUACGGUCGCAAGNUUAAAACGCAAAGGAUUGACGG
This 560-nucleotide ribosomal RNA is filed under the name uncultured bacterium. RNAcentral describes it as "bacterial SSU rRNA". It matches the Rfam family "Bacterial small subunit ribosomal RNA", at positions 338 to 916 of the family's 1533-position model. The record is from RNAcentral.